UACGGGGGGGCAAGCGUUGUUCGGAAUUACUGGGCGUAAAGGGCUCGUAGGUGGCCAACUAAGUCGGACGUGAAAUCCCUCGGCUUAACCGGGGAACUGCGUCUGAUACUGGAUGGCUUGAGUUCGGGAGAGGGAUGCGGAAUUCCAGGUGUAGCGGUGAAAUGCGUAGAUAUCAGGAAGAACACCGGUGGCGAAGGCGGUCUGCUGGGCAGUUGCUGACACUGAGGCGCGACAGCGUGGGGAGCAAACAGG
This 252-nucleotide ribosomal RNA is filed under the name uncultured bacterium. Its description in RNAcentral is "partial 16S ribosomal RNA". It matches the Rfam family "Bacterial small subunit ribosomal RNA", at positions 524 to 776 of the family's 1533-position model. The record is from RNAcentral.